RNAcentral lists this ribosomal RNA (269 nucleotides) under uncultured bacterium. Its description in RNAcentral is "partial 16S ribosomal RNA". It matches the Rfam family "Bacterial small subunit ribosomal RNA", at positions 1234 to 1500 of the family's 1533-position model. The record is from RNAcentral.
CGGUAAACAAAGGGAAAGCUAGCCGGUGACGGUGCGCGAAUCCCAAAAAUAACGUCUCAGUUCGGAUUGUAGUCUGCAACUCGACUACAUGAAGCUGGAAUCGCUAGUAAUCGCGGAUCAGAAUGCCGCGGUGAAUACGUUCCCGGGUCUUGUACACACCGCCCGUCACACCAUGGGAGUCGGAAAUGCCCGAAGUCUGUGACCGAACCGAAAGGAAGGAGCAGCCGAAGGCAGGUCGGAUGACUGGGGUGAAGUCGUAACAAGGUACC